Molecule: transfer RNA, 96 nt
Filed under: Gemmatimonadota bacterium
Lineage: Bacteria; Pseudomonadati; Gemmatimonadota
Description: tRNA-Arg
Source: RNAcentral
AAACGGUCGUCGAAUUGCAUUGCCACGGCGGGUUUUCUGUGCCCGCUGCCGUAGAGUCUGCGUUGAUUCGGGCCGGAGCGCGACCGGCACUGGCUG